GCAAGUCGAGCGGACAGAUGGGAGCUUGCUCCCUGAUGUUAGCGGCGGACGGGUGAGUAACACGUGGGUAACCUGCCUGUAAGACUGGGAUAACUCCGGGAAACCGGGGCUAAUACCGGAUGGUUGUUUGAACCGCAUGGUUCAAACAUAAAAGGUGGCUUCGGCUACCACUUACAGAUGGACCCGCGGCGCAUUAGCUAGUUGGUGAGGUAACGGCUCACCAAGGCAACGAUGCGUAGCCGACCUGAGAGGGUGAUCGGCCACACUGGGACUGAGACACGGCCCAGACUCCUACGGGAGGCAGCAGUAGGGAAUCUUCCGCAAUGGACGAAAGUCUGACGGAGCAACGCCGCGUGAGUGAUGAAGGUUUUCGGAUCGUAAAGCUCUGUUGUUAGGGAAGAACAAGUACCGUUCGAAUAGGGCGGUACCUUGACGGUACCUAACCAGAAAGCCACGGCUAACUACGUGCCAGCAGCCGCGGUAAUACGUAGGUGGCAAGCGUUGUCCGGAAUUAUUGGGCGUAAAGGGCUCGCAGGCGGUUUCUUAAGUCUGAUGUGAAAGCCCCCGGCUCAACCGGGGAGGGUCAUUGGAAACUGGGGAACUUGAGUGCAGAAGAGGAGAGUGGAAUUCCACGUGUAGCGGUGAAAUGCGUAGAGAUGUGGAGGAACACCAGUGGCGAAGGCGACUCUCUGGUCUGUAACUGACGCUGAGGAGCGAAAGCGUGGGGAGCGAACAGGAUUAGAUACCCUGGUAGUCCACGCCGUAAACGAUGAGUGCUAAGUGUUAGGGGGUUUCCGCCCCUUAGUGCUGCAGCUAA
RNAcentral lists this ribosomal RNA (817 nucleotides) under Bacillus subtilis. RNAcentral describes it as "bacterial SSU rRNA". It matches the Rfam family "Bacterial small subunit ribosomal RNA", at positions 57 to 855 of the family's 1533-position model. Lineage: Bacteria; Bacillati; Bacillota; Bacilli; Caryophanales; Bacillaceae. The record is from RNAcentral.